This is a regulatory RNA element of Eggerthella sp. CAG:368, 33 nucleotides long. It matches the Rfam family "L31-Coriobacteria ribosomal protein leader". Lineage: Bacteria; Bacillati; Actinomycetota; Coriobacteriia; Eggerthellales; Eggerthellaceae. The record is from Rfam.
AUCUUGGUCGGAAACCAAGGUAUUAGUGAGGAG